GAUGAAGAACGCAGCGAAAUGCGAUAAGUAAUGUGAAUUGCAGAAUUCAGUGAAUCAUCGAAUCUUUGAACGCACAUUGCGCCCGCCAGUAUUCUGGCGGGCAUGCCUGUUCGAGCGUCAUUUCAACCAUCAAGCCCCGGGCUUGUGUUGGGGACCUGCGGCUGCCGCAGGCCCUGAAAUGCAGUGGCGGGCUCGCUGUCACUCCGAGCGUAGUAGUUACAUCUCGCUCUGGGCGUGCUGCGGGUUCCGGCCGUUAAAAGCCUUAUUUACCCAAGGUUGACCUCGGAUCAGGUAGGAGACCCGCUGAACUUAAGCAUAUCAAUAAGCGGAGGA
RNAcentral lists this unclassified non-coding RNA (333 nucleotides) under soil metagenome. RNAcentral's name for it is "partial contains 5.8S ribosomal RNA, internal transcribed spacer 2, and large subunit ribosomal RNA". The stretch from base 1 to 120 matches the Rfam family "5.8S ribosomal RNA", at positions 35 to 154 of the family's 154-position model. The record is from RNAcentral.